RNAcentral lists this ribosomal RNA (618 nucleotides) under uncultured bacterium. RNAcentral's name for it is "bacterial SSU rRNA". It matches the Rfam family "Bacterial small subunit ribosomal RNA", at positions 54 to 652 of the family's 1533-position model. The record is from RNAcentral.
CAUGCAAGUCGAGCGGAUCAAUGGGGAGCUUGCUCCCCUGAGAUCAGCGGCGGACGGGUGAGUAACACGUGGGCAACCUGCCUGUAAGACUGGGAUAACUCCGGGAAACCGGGGCUAAUACCGGAUAACAUUUUCCAUUGCAUAGUGGGAAAUUAAAAGAUGGCUUCGGCUAUCACUUACAGAUGGGCCCGCGGCGCAUUAGCUAGUUGGUGAGGUAAGGGCUCACCAAGGCGACGAUGCGUAGCCGACCUGAGAGGGUGAUCGGCCACACUGGGACUGAGACACGGCCCAGACUCCUACGGGAGGCAGCAGUAGGGAAUCUCCGGCAAUGGGCGAAAGCCUGACCGAGCAACGCCGCGUGAGCGAUGAAGGCCUUCGGGUCGUAAAGCUCUGUUGUUAGGGAAGAACAAGUACCGUUCAAAUAGGGCGGUACCUUGACGGUACCUAACCAGAAAGCCACGGCUAACUACGUGCCAGCAGCCGCGGUAAUACGUAGGUGGCAAGCGUUGUCCGGAAUUAUUGGGCGUAAAGCGCGCGCAGGCGGUCUCUUAAGUCUGAUGUGAAAGCCCACGGCUCAACCGUGGAGGGUCAUUGGAAACUGGGGGACUUGAGUACUGG